RNAcentral lists this long non-coding RNA (2438 nucleotides) under Fragaria vesca (wild strawberry). Its description in RNAcentral is "long non-coding RNA (FVES_LNC002292)". The record is from RNAcentral. Lineage: Eukaryota; Viridiplantae; Streptophyta; Magnoliopsida; Rosales; Rosaceae.
GAGAUUGGAUCAAUUUUCCAAUCAAAGUCCACAUUCCUGAAAAUGAUGAUUAAGAAAUUGACAUGUUAAUAAAUAAGAGGAAUAGUAGGAGAGCUUCUUAUGUAUUGUUUUUGGGAAUCACUAGAAUGAAACUACAGCAGCAUCAUACAUGGUUGUAUGAUAUAUGAUUAUAUAUUUGAUCCCUAUCUCGAAAGAUUAUAAAUUUCUAAUACAAAAACCAAGGUCAUGAAUGCUUGAAAUGUUGUUGCAAGCGUCUCCGUGUGUUUUUUUUAUUUUUUUGAAUGUAAAGUUCAUAUCAUUAGAAGUUUAAAACAAUGGCCAAAUAAGCUAUAAGCUAUAUAGUCUACGUAGCUUAUAACCGAAAUCGGGGAAACUGAAAACCUAAAGAAGCAACACAAAACCAAGGUCAGGAAUAAGCUACUACUCUAUGCAUGGUAAGGACAAAGUGGGUUUGGUCCCGGUUGUGCGUCUUGACGGCCACAAUGAGGUGUGUGCCUUGACUGCCAUAAUGAGGCGGCAAGAACAUGUGUAGGUUCUGCAUGUUCGUUAUGCUCAACUCUAAUUUAAAAUGACUACUCUGGCAUCCGAAAGUAGAGCAGAACAGAGGGGUCCGAUGUGAUAUUUAUUGUAAUUUGAAUACCAAAUAGAAGAAGAAAAUAAACACAGCGGAAACAACUUCACUGCAGUAGAUUCACCGCAGUAAGACAAACACAAAUAGCAAGAAAUUAAAGAACACAAGAAAUUUACGUGGUUCGGCUUAGCCUACAUCCACGGAGCAGCAAGGACAAAUUCACUAUCAAAGUCUGAGAGGUUACAAAGGUUUCAAAUUAAACUCUCACACUACCGACUCUACCACUGCAGUAAACUGCAACAAACGCUCUUAUUCUUUUUUCUGUAAACUGUUUUUCAAACUGUUUUGCAGUUACAACUUCUCAUAUCUUAUUUCUCAGCAGCUUUUAAUAACUACUAAAAAUAGGAAGACAAAAGAGAAUAACGAGCCACAACACAAUAAUAUUCGAAAUGUCUCACCAAUUCAUUCUCCCUUCUCACGAUGCUCCCCUCACUGUCACCACCCCAAAAACAAACCCUUUCAGAUUCACUCACUAAUGGAGUAAUGGAACUCAACACUUCACAAACAAUGGCAGGACUGGGGUUGGGGCUGGACUUCCUCUCAAAGAAGCCAUAUUCCCCUCCUUCUUGGGCAUCCCACAUCAACCCCCAUCCCCUCCCACACCUUCUCUCUCGGUCACGUAAUUCCUCAACUCCAUUCUCAUCACUCAGUAGUCAAUACUCACAGGUCACAGCAUCACUGUUUGUUUAUUGACUCCUACUUUUCUCUCAGCUUCCCACUCCAAUCCACAAAUGGAAUCUUCCCAAUUUGCCCAACAACACUGAGGUCUGGCUGCAAUCGAAAAUUUGAAUGUUUGGGUUUUGUGGAUUGAUUUAGUGAAGUUUUCCAGUCUGUCGCUUCAGAAACCAUAUAUCCAACCCUGUUUCAAAACUUAACGUCGUCUAGAAUAUGUUAUGCGUUUCCUGAAAACAGAAUGACAAUGAGUUUUAAAGUACGUGUAGUUCUUCUUACCUCUUAGGUUUUACAUAAUCAAUUUUAUGUGAUUUGAUUUCAGUGGCAAAGCUGCUUAUGGGUUGCUGAAGGACAUUGCCGAGAAUCCAAAGAAGUGGGAAGGAAGAAAGAUCCUCUUCAUACACACAUGCAGGUGGGCUGCUUGGGUUGUUUGACAAGGUCGAGCAGAUUGCUCCAUCAUUGGGAAAAUAGUGUCGGAUGGAUGUCUGUGGAAGAAACGAUAUGGACUUGUCACACAUUAUUAUAAUGUAAUAUAAUAUGAUGAUUCAGCAUAAUAUCAAAUCUACUUCUACAUGGAAACAAAUACAAGAUCAAAUCUAGAUUAAUAAUGAUUACGUGUAUUAAAUCAUUAUGGUAAUAAAUCAUAUUCCUUGUCUAGAAGAAAGACAAGAUAUCGGUAUUGUAUCUGGUAUCCAAUUAGGAUAUACUACCAGAAGAAAGGCUUUAGCUGACGAAAAAAAAAAACCAGGCCGACGAAGUAGUUUUUCGUCGGCUAAGUUAAAUUUUCGUCGGCUAUGGUAAACUUUAGCUGACGAAAAAAAAUUUUCGUCGGCUAAAGAAUUUAUUUCGUCGGCUAAAGUUCACAAACUAUGGCCGACGAAAUAUUUAAAAGUUUAGCCGACGAAAUUAAUAUGUCGUCGGCUAAAGUGCUUUAUAUUUGCGGAUCUGGACAGCAGCAGCUCAUCUGGGAAAAAAACGGGAGAUCGAAAAAGUUUGGAUGUUGUCGAAAUCUGUCCAUAAUUAGUUUGUGGAGCCAUAUAUAGGUACGUAUAUGUAUAUAUAUGUUGAUUAAUUGAGUUUUAUUUGAGUUGAUCGAUUUUAAAUGUGAUUGAGUUUAUUGAUUUUGAUUGNNNNN